GCCAGGCAUGGUGUUGUGUGCCUGUAGUCUUAGUUACUCAGGAAGCUGAGGCAGGAGGAUUGCUUGAGCCCAGGAGAUCAAGGCUGCAGUGAGCCAUGAUUGUGCCACUGCACCAUAGCCUGAGCAACAGAGCGAGACUCUGCCUCAA
Unclassified non-coding RNA from Pongo abelii (Sumatran orangutan), 148 nucleotides. It matches the Rfam family "Metazoan signal recognition particle RNA". From Rfam's summary of the family: The signal recognition particle (SRP) is a universally conserved ribonucleoprotein. NCBI's taxonomy places the organism in Eukaryota, Metazoa, Chordata, Mammalia, Primates, Hominidae. The record is from Ensembl.